ACCUUAUGAUAAAAUGAAUAUAUGUUAUUUAUCGAAUAAAUGUUAGUAAACGAUAUUUGUGUCUGAUAACUAAAACAACAAAUGGCAAGAUUGUAAAUUAAACAAAACUUAAGCCUAAUUUUUUAUUCUAUGUUUAUUCUAUCAGACCAUAGAUCUAGAUCUAAACAAAAACCAUUUCAUACAAAAAAAAACCCUCUCAUCUUCUUCAACCAUUUGGAUGAACACCAACACCUCAAACAUCGUCGAUGGCAUCCAUCCACCGCCACACCGCCGAUGACGGCCCAUCCUCCGCCUCGACCUCUGGUUACCACCAUAAUUUCCGAUUUUUGUCGUCGAUGGUGUGUCACCGUCAUAACUUCUACGACGACCGAACACCUCUAGCAAACAAACAACUCCAAUGAUGUACCACCUCCGAUUGUUGUAUCCGAUGGUUUGUUAGGAGAUUUAUGAAUUAGACGACUUUCAUUUACAUUUUGUGCUUAGAUUUGCUUCGAUUGUAGUGAUGUGUUCUUCGUUUCCGACACCUAAGAACACCUGAAAAAAUUGUCUUCCUCUUUUCUCUUUGAUCUCCGAUGCUCUAACACUGACACCCUCUUAAGGUCAGAUGUUUUUUUAUAUGCAAGUAAUAGUUGAGAUCGAGAUAAGCUCAUCUAUAGUUGUUUAUGAUUUUGAUUGCUCAAUAGAUUUGUAGAAACAGAUUUAAUUGAGAAUGUAGAGAGAGCGAAGUAGAUCUUGUAGUCAAUGAAUAGAUCUAUGUUGAAAGUCAAGGAAAAACAAGAGAAAAGCUUUGAUUUUGAUGGAGUAACGAAGCUUUGAUUAUUCUGGAGAUACUAAAAAAAAUUGAUGAGAUCUAAUUUUUGAUGGAUGUUGGCGAUGUGGUUGGUGGUAGCGAUGGUUGAGUAAGGAUAUGUUGCAUUUCUCACUCAUCUUCUUCGAUGAUUUCAGAUAAGUUAUCAUCUUUUAUGAUUCAUGUAUAUGUUAUUCCUUUGUUGUUUGCUUUUAAAAUAUGACAUAAUAUAUGUAUGUAUUAAAUUGUGAAUGAUAUAUGAGAUUAUACUUGUAAAUGAGCUUUGAAUGUAUUGUAAUAAAUUCUGAAUUUUUUGUAUUAA
Lactuca sativa (garden lettuce) is the source of this 1109-nucleotide non-coding RNA. NCBI's taxonomy places the organism in Eukaryota, Viridiplantae, Streptophyta, Magnoliopsida, Asterales, Asteraceae. The record is from RefSeq and is a predicted model, not a curated record.